This 88-nucleotide transfer RNA is filed under the name Bacillota bacterium. RNAcentral describes it as "tRNA-Leu". It matches the Rfam family "tRNA". From Rfam's summary of the family: Transfer RNA (tRNA) molecules are approximately 80 nucleotides in length. Their secondary structure includes four short double-helical elements and three loops (D, anti-codon, and T loops). Lineage: Bacteria; Bacillati; Bacillota. The record is from RNAcentral. RNAcentral also lists the same sequence under 4 other names.
GCCGCUAUGGUGGAAUUGGUAGACACCCGAGACUUAAAAUCUCGUUCUGGUUUCCAGAGUACCGGUUCGAGCCCGGUUAGCGGCACCA